Molecule: ribosomal RNA, 994 nt
Filed under: uncultured bacterium
Lineage: Bacteria
Description: partial 16S ribosomal RNA
Rfam family: Bacterial small subunit ribosomal RNA
Source: RNAcentral
AGAGUUUGAUCCUGGCUCAGAUUGAACGCUAGCGGGAUGCUCUACACAUGCAAGUCGAACGGCAGCACGAGAGAGCUUGCUCUCUUGGUGGCGAGUGGCGGACGGGUGAGUAAUAUAUCGGAACGUGCCCAGUAGCGGGGGAUAACUACUCGAAAGAGUGGCUAAUACCGCAUACGCCCUACGGGGGAAAGGGGGGGAUCGCAAGACCUCUCACUAUUGGAGCGGCCGAUAUCGGAUUAGCUAGUUGGUGGGGUAAAGGCUCACCAAGGCAACGAUCCGUAGCUGGUUUGAGAGGACGACCAGCCACACUGGGACUGAGACACGGCCCAGACUCCUACGGGAGGCAGCAGUGGGGAAUUUUGGACAAUGGGGGAAACCCUGAUCCAGCCAUCCCGCGUGUAUGAUGAAGGCCUUCGGGUUGUAAAGUACUUUUGGCAGAGAAGAAAAGGCAUCCCCUAAUACGGGAUGCUGCUGACGGUAUCUGCAGAAUAAGCACCGGCUAACUACGUGCCAGCAGCCGCGGUAAUACGUAGGGUGCAAGCGUUAAUCGGAAUUACUGGGCGUAAAGCGUGUGUAGGCGGUUCGGAAAGAAAGAUGUGAAAUCCCAGGGCUCAACCUUGGAACUGCAUUUUUAACUGCCGAGCUAGAGUAUGUCAGAGGGGGGUAGAAUUCCACGUGUAGCAGUGAAAUGCGUAGAUAUGUGGAGGAAUACCGAUGGCGAAGGCAGCCCCCUGGGAUAAUACUGACGCUCAGACACGAAAGCGUGGGGAGCAAACAGGAUUAGACACCCUGGUAGUCCACGCCCUAAACGAUGUCAACUAGCUGUUUGUGGCCCUUAGGCCUUAUUAGCGCCACUAACGCGUGAAGUUGACCGCCUGGGGGAUACGGUCUGCAAGAAUUAAAACUCAAAGGAAUUGGGGGGGGAACCCCCAAGCCGGGGGGAGAAGGGGGAUUAAUUCCAAUUUAACGGCAAAAAAACCCUUACCCACCCUUG